Trichuris suis (pig whipworm) is the source of this 53-nucleotide non-coding RNA. The record is from Rfam. NCBI's taxonomy places the organism in Eukaryota, Metazoa, Nematoda, Enoplea, Trichinellida, Trichuridae.
GGUUCCAUGGUGUAACGGUUAGCACUCUGGACUUUGAAUCCAGCAAUCCGAGU